This 114-nucleotide ribosomal RNA is filed under the name Pteropus alecto (black flying fox). The record is from RNAcentral. Lineage: Eukaryota; Metazoa; Chordata; Mammalia; Chiroptera; Pteropodidae.
GUCUACAGCCAUGCCACCCUGAACACAUCUCAUCUGAUCUCAGAAGCUAAGCAGGGUUGGGCCUGGUUAAUACUUGGAUGGGAGACCACCUAGGAAGACGAGGUGCUGUAGGCU